AGCCUUUUCAAUUAAGGUUACAGUAUAUUUUGUUUGUUUAUUUUUUCUUUUAAUCUUUGACCUGCACGCCUGCCUGCAGACCCAACCUGGGGAUUCGUUUGUCAAGUUCUUUUGUUUGUUUAUUUUCACGCUGGUUUAACAGCAUAAAGACUCGUGUGUUUACCCUGCAUUUGCGUCCGCCUUCUUGUAUGGCAAACAUGACAUGCAUUAUUCUUACUGCAAUUACUAGAGAUUCUAUGGCCAAUAUAAAGAACACAGGAUGUAUCCCUGAGUGCCUUAAAGCAUUUAAGAGCGCAGAAGCCUAUCAACUCUUCAUGUCAGGUCGGGUCCCAGGAGGUUUUACCAGGAAGAAGGAAAGAAAAAGUCAUUUUUAUCAUUAAAGGACGGACAGCUCCUGUAUCUUAAUGAGAUUUUGGUUUGGACUGGGAUCAAUGGGACCCAACACAAAGCGGCUUGUGUUUACUUUUAUUCAGGUGGGAGCAGCGGGUCAGAUAUGAAACUUGUCCUUGAACAAAGGAAGGCCGUGUUGCUUACAGUACCAUGGAUGUGGAAAUGAUGUGUCGUGAUGCUUGUGCCGUGCUGCAUAAUGCAUUCGACACAUUUGUCAGUGUACUUUAAAUGAUGUAAUAUGUAUUAGGCAAAUAGGCCCUGCGAUGGACUGGAAGUAUUCCUGUGUUCCUGAGAUUUGUCAUAAAUUCCCUUGUGGGUAACAGGGUGGUAACUGCUGCUUGUGCUUAUUCUUCCAUGUGAUUUUCAUUGUGUUUUUGUCAUGUUCCUUUGUUUUCCACGUCAUUUCAUUUGGGUUUUGUUCACUUGACAUUGUUAGCCCUUGUUUAUUUUGUCUGGUAAUACUUUGUUGUGUCUAAGUCUCGUUGCAAAGUAUUGCCAACUGUAUUGUGCAUUUUUGAGCUUUUCUUAGUUUUGACCCACGCCUGUAUGUUUAACUUACCUCUUGGAUAAGCUGUGUAUUUUCUUCAGUCUGCCUGUCUGU
This is a long non-coding RNA of Clarias gariepinus (North African catfish), 991 nucleotides long. RefSeq lists it as uncharacterized. Lineage: Eukaryota; Metazoa; Chordata; Actinopteri; Siluriformes; Clariidae. The transcript is spliced from 4 exons. The record is from RefSeq and is a predicted model, not a curated record.